UACGUAGGGUGCGAGCGUUAAUCGGAAUUACUGGGCGUAAAGCGUGCGCAGGCGGUUUUGUAAGUCAGAUGUGAAAUCCCCGGGCUUAACCUGGGAACUGCGUUUGAAACUACAAGGCUAGAGUGUGGCAGAGGGAUGUGGAAUUUCAGGUGUAGCGGUGAAAUGCGUAGAUAUCUGGAGGAACACCGGUGGCGAAGGCGGCAUCCUGGACCGGUAUUGACGCUGAGGCGCGAAAGCCAGGGGAGCAAACGGG
RNAcentral lists this ribosomal RNA (253 nucleotides) under uncultured bacterium. RNAcentral's name for it is "partial 16S ribosomal RNA". It matches the Rfam family "Bacterial small subunit ribosomal RNA", at positions 524 to 776 of the family's 1533-position model. The record is from RNAcentral.